Molecule: transfer RNA, 90 nt
Filed under: Verrucomicrobiales bacterium
Lineage: Bacteria; Pseudomonadati; Verrucomicrobiota; Verrucomicrobiia; Verrucomicrobiales
Description: tRNA-Ser
Rfam family: tRNA
About the family: Transfer RNA (tRNA) molecules are approximately 80 nucleotides in length.
Source: RNAcentral
GGUUCGGUGGCUGAGUGGUCGAAAGCGCUUCUUUGCUAAAGAAGUGAACCCGUGAGGGUUCCGUGGGUUCGAAUCCCACCCGGACCGCCA